AUUGAACGCUAGCGGGAUGCUUUACACAUGCAAGUCGAACGGCAGCGCGGACUUCGGUCUGGCGGCGAGUGGCGAACGGGUGAGUAAUGUAUCGGAACGUGCCCAGUAGCGGGGGAUAACUACGCGAAAGCGUAGCUAAUACCGCAUACGCCCUACGGGGGAAAACAGGGGAUCGUAAGACCUUGCACUAUUGGAGCGGCCGAUAUCGGAUUAGCUAGUUGGUGAGGUAACGGCUCACCAAGGCGACGAUCCGUAGCUGGUUUGAGAGGACGACCAGCCACACUGGGACUGAGACACGGCCCAGACUCCUACGGGAGGCAGCAGUGGGGAAUUUUGGACAAUGGGGGCAACCCUGAUCCAGCCAUCCCGCGUGUGCGAUGAAGGCCUUCGGGUUGUAAAGCACUUUUGGCAGGAAAGAAACGUCGCGGGCUAAUACCCCGUGGAACUGACGGUACCUGCAGAAUAAGCACCGGCUAACUACGUG
Molecule: ribosomal RNA, 484 nt
Filed under: uncultured bacterium
Lineage: Bacteria
Description: partial 16S ribosomal RNA
Rfam family: Bacterial small subunit ribosomal RNA
Source: RNAcentral